Molecule: long non-coding RNA, 250 nt
Filed under: Brassica napus (rape)
Lineage: Eukaryota; Viridiplantae; Streptophyta; Magnoliopsida; Brassicales; Brassicaceae
Description: long non-coding RNA (BNAP_LNC015297)
Source: RNAcentral
GUAGGUUACUAGAUACUGACCCGCCAUUUCAUUAGAUGAGGAUGUGUUUCAAUAGUCUAAUUUCUAAUAUGGUUUUAUUUUUAUAAAUUGUAAUUCUAAUUAGUGGAAGUAUGUCUUUGAAUAGUUUAUUAUCUAAUAUGGUUUUAUUUUUAUAAAUUGUAUUGUAAUUUAUUUGUUAUUAGUAAAAUUGUGUUUACACAUAUUGGACUUCAAAUCCGUUGUUUGUUUAAUUCUUAAAUAUAUCACAUAU